RNAcentral lists this unclassified non-coding RNA (221 nucleotides) under Hevea brasiliensis (rubber tree). The record is from RNAcentral. Lineage: Eukaryota; Viridiplantae; Streptophyta; Magnoliopsida; Malpighiales; Euphorbiaceae.
AUCCAGGCCCAUGCGAAUUGGACCAGCAGCUAACAAAAAUACUUCUGGUGGUGGUCAGCAAUUUGCAAAAACUUCAUAUCAGAAUCCUCAAGGGGCUCAGAAUGAGAAUGAUCCAAACAAUACGACUAUAUUUGUGGGUAAUUUGGAUGCUAAUGUCACAGACGAUCACUUGAGACAAGUAUUUGGUCAAUAUGGGGAGUUGGUGCAUGUAAAGAUACCUG